Molecule: ribosomal RNA, 210 nt
Filed under: uncultured bacterium
Lineage: Bacteria
Description: partial 16S ribosomal RNA
Rfam family: Bacterial small subunit ribosomal RNA
Source: RNAcentral
UCUGGCCCAAUAUGGGGGACGAACUCGGGGAAACUCGAGCUAAUACCGCAUACGCCCUACGGGGGAAAGGCAGGGGAGUCUUCGGACCUUGCGCUAUUGGAUGAGCCUAAGUCGGAUUAGCUUGUUGGUGAGGUAAAAGCUCACCAAGGCGACGAUCCGUAGCUGGUCUGAGAGAACGAUCAGCCACACUGGGACUGAGACACGGCCCAG